Molecule: ribosomal RNA, 292 nt
Filed under: uncultured bacterium
Lineage: Bacteria
Description: partial 16S ribosomal RNA
Rfam family: Bacterial small subunit ribosomal RNA
Source: RNAcentral
GUGUCAGCAGCCGCGGUAAUACGAAGGGUGCUAGCGUUAUUCGGAUUUAUUGGGCGUAAAGGGUGCGCAGGCUGUGCAUUAAGUCAGCUGUCAAAUUUCCCAGCUUAACUGGGAGCCGGCAGCAGAUACUGGUGUGCUUGAGGGUGGAAGAGAGAAGUGGAAUUCUCGGAGUAGCGGUAAAAUGCGUAGAUCUCGAGAGGAACACCAAUGGCGAAGGCAGCUUCUUGGUCCAUUCCUGACGCUCAUGCACGAAAGCGUGGGGAGCAAACAGGAUUAGAUACCCUGGUAGUCC